RNAcentral lists this transfer RNA (93 nucleotides) under Lysobacter helvus. Its description in RNAcentral is "tRNA-Ala". RNAcentral also lists the same sequence under 1 other name. Lineage: Bacteria; Pseudomonadati; Pseudomonadota; Gammaproteobacteria; Lysobacterales; Lysobacteraceae. The record is from RNAcentral.
GUCAGGCGGGCGUUUUUCGGCAGCGCGGCGGCGGUGGCAUUGCUGACGGUGGUGUACCUGCUGCAGGGCGCGUUCGAUGCGAGUGCGUGGGCC